Molecule: small RNA, 412 nt
Filed under: uncultured Marasmiaceae
Lineage: Eukaryota; Fungi; Basidiomycota; Agaricomycetes; Agaricales
Description: eukaryotic LSU rRNA
Rfam family: 5.8S ribosomal RNA (bases 36-189)
Source: RNAcentral
AUUGUUGGUCUUGAUCGACCGAUAAAACACUAUACAACUUUCAGCAACGGAUCUCUUGGCUCUCGCAUCGAUGAAGAACGCAGCGAAAUGCGAUAAGUAAUGUGAAUUGCAGAAUUCAGUGAAUCAUCGAAUCUUUGAACGCAUCUUGCACCCUUUGGUAUUCCGAAGGGUAUGCCUGUUUGAGUGUCGUUGAAUUCUCAAAAGAACCUAGGUUUCGAUCAGGGCUCUUUUGGACUGUGAGGGCUGCUGGUCUCUUUAGAUCAGACUCCCUUUAAAUACAUUAGUGGUUACCGAUCCGCUUCCACUUUGGUGUGAUAGGUCUAUCUACGCUGCUUGGAAUGAUCAGUUGCUAUCCGCUUCUAACCUUGUCUGUCUUGGACAAAGCUUUCAUUGACAAUCGACCUCAAAUCAG